Molecule: ribosomal RNA, 809 nt
Filed under: uncultured organism
Description: bacterial SSU rRNA
Rfam family: Bacterial small subunit ribosomal RNA
Source: RNAcentral
CGGCGUGGAUUAGGCAUGCAAGUCGAACGGACACAGCAAUGUGUUAGUGGCGACCUGGUUAGUACAAGUUGGGUAACCUGCCGGAAAGUGGGGGACAACCUUUCGAAAGAAGGGCUAAUACCGCAUGUGUUCCCUGGGGCUUCGGCUCUGGUGAAUAAAGCAGUGAUGCGCUUUCCGAUGGGCCCGACUCCCCAUUAGCUAGUUGGUAGGGUAACGGCCUACCAAGGCUACGAUGGGUAGCUGGCCUGAGAGGGUGGUCAGCAACACGAGGACUGAGAUACGGCCUCGACUCCUACGGGGGGCAGCAGUCUAGAGGCUUCGGCAAUGGACGAAAGUCUGACCGAGCGACGCCGCGUGGAGGAUGAAGGUCUUCGGAUUGUAAACUCCUUUCGGCCGGAAAGAAAGCUUGGAUGGCGAAUCCAGGUGUGACUGACCGGCGGAAGAAGCCCCGGCUAACUUCGUGCCAGCAGCCGCGGUAAUACGAAGGGGGCAAGCGUUAUUCGGAUUUAUUGGGCGUAAAGGGCGUGUAGGCGGCUCGGCAAGUCUGGUGUGAAAACGCUACCGCUUAACGGAGCGAAUGCGCUGGAAACUGCCGAACUUGAGUUCAGAAGAGGUGGGCGGAAUACCUGGUGUAGCGGUGGAAUGCGUAGAGAUCAGGUAGAACACCCGAGGCGAAGGCGGCCCACUGGUCUGAUACUGACGCUGAGGCGCGAAAGCGUGGGGAUCAAACGGGAUUAGAUACCCCGGUAGUCCACGCUGUAAACGGUGAGCACUAGUCGUUGGGGGUACCCAUUCCCGCAGUGACGUCG